RNAcentral lists this ribosomal RNA (228 nucleotides) under uncultured bacterium. RNAcentral describes it as "partial 16S ribosomal RNA". It matches the Rfam family "Bacterial small subunit ribosomal RNA", at positions 103 to 334 of the family's 1533-position model. The record is from RNAcentral.
CGGGUGAGUAAUGCCUAGGAAUCUGCCUGGUAGUGGGGGAUAACGUUCGGAAACGGACGCUAAUACCGCAUACGUCCUACGGGAGAAAGUGGGGGAUCUUCGGACCUCACGCUAUCAGAUGAGCCUAGGUCGGAUUAGCUUGUUGGUGAGGUAAUGGCUCACCAAGGCAACGAUCCGUAACUGGUCUGAGAGGAUGAUCAGUCACACUGGAACUGAGACACAGUCCAG